AAUAUUGAAGUUUGGUGAAGUUUGUGAAUUUUAAAUUAAGCAUCGAAAGGCAGAAGUCCAACAAAAUAAUAAAUGUCAAAUAUUGACUUGUAUGGAGAUGUACUUUAAAGACAAGACUUGCUUUUAUACGGUGUUUUGGAAAUCUAAAACCCUGCUUUCGAUUAUUUGAAGAAGGACAUAAGGUAGGUUCGGUUGCUGAAGAAGUAGUAGGGCAGACAUGUCAGGUUCAUGAACACAAGUAAAGCCUGCGUUGGCCACGUACCCAUUUUUCUGUAUUUUCAAUGUACUAUACGCUCAUCAACACAGAGGCUCAACCACUUUAAGAAAUUAUAAAAUUGGUAUGUCAAGUAUAUAUGUCUCCCAAAAUUCAAACUUCAUGUUCAACUAUGACAUCUAUUUGCAUGAUUUAAUGCAGACAAAGUCAUGGCUUCCUCUUCUUUGGGUGCUUUUGCUUCCAUUCAAACGUGGAUUCCAGGUGCAUCAUAAAACAUUGUCCGCCACAGUUUACACCAUGGAUUUCUAUUUUAAUUCACCUUCCACGUGAAAUGUUUUUCAUUUUUCAUUCAUCAUUCACCACAAAAAAUGAGUAUAUAUAUCUAUGCUUGGCUUUUCUUCCUUUUUAAAUUUGCUGACUUUUCAUUCAAGCUUAUCAACACACGUGUUGGGUCCACGUUUUUCAUGGAUAACCCUUAA
RNAcentral lists this long non-coding RNA (693 nucleotides) under Phaseolus vulgaris (common bean). Its description in RNAcentral is "long non-coding RNA (PVUL_LNC004464)". The record is from RNAcentral. Lineage: Eukaryota; Viridiplantae; Streptophyta; Magnoliopsida; Fabales; Fabaceae.